RNAcentral lists this unclassified non-coding RNA (201 nucleotides) under uncultured Russula. RNAcentral's name for it is "sequence contains ITS1". The record is from RNAcentral. Lineage: Eukaryota; Fungi; Basidiomycota; Agaricomycetes; Russulales; Russulaceae.
UCGUGUAACCGAGGUGCAAGGGCUGUCGCUGACCUUUCAAAGGUCGUGCACGCCCAAGCACACUCUCGCACAUCCAUCUCACCCCUUUUGUGCAUCACCGCGUAGGCCCCCCUUUGCAAGGAGGGUUUGCGUUUUCACAUAAAAACUUGAUACAGUAUAUAGAAUGUUUCUUUUUUAUUUUGCGGUCACACGCAAUCAAUA